GGGAGCUUGCUCCCUGAUGUUAGCGGCGGACGGGUGAGUAACACGUGGGUAACCUGCCUGUAAGACUGGGAUAACUCCGGGAAACCGGGGCUAAUACCGGAUGCUUGUUUGAACCGCAGGGUUCAGACAUAAAAGGUGGCUUCGGCUACCACUUACAGAUGGACCCGCGGCGCAUUAGCUAGUUGGUGAGGUAACGGCUCACCAAGGCAACGAUGCGUAGCCGACCUGAGAGGGUGAUCGGCCACACUGGGACUGAGACACGGCCCAGACUCCUACGGGAGGCAGCAGUAGGGAAUCUUCCGCAAUGGACGAAAGUCUGACGGAGCAACGCCGCGUGAGUGAUGAAGGUUUUCGGAUCGUAAAGCUCUGUUGUUAGGGAAGAACAAGUGCCGUUCAAAUAGGGCGGCACCUUGACGGUACCUAACCAGAAAGCCACGGCUAACUACGUGCCAGCAGCCGCGGUAAUACGUAGGUGGCAAGCGUUGUCCGGAAUUAUUGGGCGUAAAGGGCUCGCAGGCGGUUUCUUAAGUCUGAUGUGAAAGCCCCCGGCUCAACCGGGGAGGGUCAUUGGAAACUGGGGAACUUGAGUGCAGAAGAGGAGAGUGGAAUUCCACGUGUAGCGGUGAAAUGCGUAGAGAUGUGGAGGA
RNAcentral lists this ribosomal RNA (647 nucleotides) under Bacillus velezensis. Its description in RNAcentral is "bacterial SSU rRNA". It matches the Rfam family "Bacterial small subunit ribosomal RNA", at positions 74 to 705 of the family's 1533-position model. Lineage: Bacteria; Bacillati; Bacillota; Bacilli; Caryophanales; Bacillaceae. The record is from RNAcentral.